GGGGGUGCAGCUCAGUGGUAGAGCACAUGCUUAGCAUGUAUGAGGUCCUGUGUUCAAUCCCACCACCA
Molecule: transfer RNA, 68 nt
Filed under: Urocitellus parryii (Arctic ground squirrel)
Lineage: Eukaryota; Metazoa; Chordata; Mammalia; Rodentia; Sciuridae
Also listed under: 1 other name
Description: Spermophilus parryii (Arctic ground squirrel) tRNA
Rfam family: tRNA
About the family: Transfer RNA (tRNA) molecules are approximately 80 nucleotides in length. Their secondary structure includes four short double-helical elements and three loops (D, anti-codon, and T loops). Further hydrogen bonds mediate the characteristic L-shaped molecular structure. tRNAs have two regions of fundamental functional importance: the anti-codon, which is responsible for specific mRNA codon recognition, and the 3' end, to which the tRNAs corresponding amino acid is attached (by aminoacyl-tRNA synthetases). tRNAs cope with the degeneracy of the genetic code in two manners: having more than one tRNA (with a specific anti-codon) for a particular amino acid; and 'wobble' base-pairing, i.e. permitting non-standard base-pairing at the 3rd anti-codon position.
Source: Rfam by way of RNAcentral